AUUGAACGCUGGCGGCAUGCUUUACACAUGCAAGUCGGACGGCAGCACAGAGAAGCUUGCUUCUUGGGUGGCGAGUGGCGAACGGGUGAGUAAUAUAUCGGAACGUACCGAGUAAUGGGGGAUAACUAAUCGAAAGAUUAGCUAAUACCGCACAUUCUCUGAGGAGGAAAGCAGGGGACCUUCGGGCCUUGCGUUAUUCGAGCGGCCGAUAUCUGAUUAGCUAGUUGGUGGGGUAAAGGCCUACCAAGGCGACGAUCAGUAGCGGGUCUGAGAGGAUGAUCCGCCACACUGGGACUGAGACACGGCCCAGACUCCUACGGGAGGCAGCAGUGGGGAAUUUUGGACAAUGGGCGCAAGCCUGAUCCAGCCAUGCCGCGUGUCUGAAGAAGGCCUUCGGGUUGUAAAGGACUUUUGUCAGGGAAGAAAAGGCUGUUGCUAAUAUCGACAGCGGAUGACGGUACCUGAAGAAUAAGCACCGGCUAACUACGUGCCAGCAGCCGCGGUAAUACGUAGGGUGCGAGCGUUAAUCGGAAUUACUGGGCGUAAAGCGAGCGCAGACGGUUACUUAAGCAGGAUGUGAAAUCCCCGGGCUCAACCUGGGAACUGCGUUCUGAACUGGGUGACUAGAGUGUGUCAGAGGGAGGUAGAAUUCCACGUGUAGCAGUGAAAUGCGUAGAGAUGUGGAGGAAUACCGAUGGCGAAGGCAGCCUCCUGGGAUAACACUGACGUUCAUGCUCGAAAGCGUGGGUAGCAAACAGG
RNAcentral lists this ribosomal RNA (759 nucleotides) under Neisseria subflava. RNAcentral describes it as "bacterial SSU rRNA". It matches the Rfam family "Bacterial small subunit ribosomal RNA", at positions 28 to 776 of the family's 1533-position model. The record is from RNAcentral. Lineage: Bacteria; Pseudomonadati; Pseudomonadota; Betaproteobacteria; Neisseriales; Neisseriaceae.